This 159-nucleotide ribosomal RNA is filed under the name uncultured bacterium. Its description in RNAcentral is "partial 16S ribosomal RNA". It matches the Rfam family "Bacterial small subunit ribosomal RNA", at positions 355 to 507 of the family's 1533-position model. The record is from RNAcentral.
UGGGGAAUCUUGCGCAAUGGGCGAAAGCCUGACGCAGCGACGCCGCGUGAGCGAUGAAGGCCUUCGGGUUGUAAAGCUCUGUGGGGUGGGAAGAAUAAGGGCUGGCUAAUAUCCAGCUUGAUGACGGUACCUCCUUAGCAAGCACCGGCUAACUCUGUG